CAGCCAUGCCGCGUGGAGGAUUAAGGCCCUCUGGGUUGUAAACUCCUUUUAUCUGGGAAGAAAUGUACUUUUUCUUGAGUACUUGACGGUACCAGAGGAAUAAGCACCGGCUAACUCCGUGCCAGCAGCCGCGGUAAUACGGAGGGUGCAAGCGUUAUCCGGAUUCACUGGGUUUAAAGGGUGCGUAGGCGGGCAGGUAAGUCAGUGGUGAAAUCUCCGGGCUUAACCCGGAAACUGCCGUUGAUACUACUUGUCUUGAAUAUUGUGGAGGUAAGCGGAAUAUGUCAUGUAGCGGUGAAAUGCUUAGAUAUGACAUAGAACACCAAUUGCGAAGGCAGCUUACUACACAAUGAUUGACGCUGAGGCACGAAAGCGUGGGGAUCAAACAGGAUUAGAUACCCUGGUAGUCCACGCCCUAAACGAUGAUUACUCGACGUGUGCGAUACACUGUAUGCGUCUGAGCGAAAGCAUUAAGUAAUCCACCUG
Molecule: ribosomal RNA, 486 nt
Filed under: uncultured Sphingobacteriia bacterium
Lineage: Bacteria; Pseudomonadati; Bacteroidota; Sphingobacteriia
Description: bacterial SSU rRNA
Rfam family: Bacterial small subunit ribosomal RNA
Source: RNAcentral